This 72-nucleotide transfer RNA is filed under the name Candidatus Naiadarchaeum limnaeum. It matches the Rfam family "tRNA". Rfam says of the family: Transfer RNA (tRNA) molecules are approximately 80 nucleotides in length. Their secondary structure includes four short double-helical elements and three loops (D, anti-codon, and T loops). The record is from Rfam by way of RNAcentral. Lineage: Archaea; Nanobdellati; Candidatus Undinarchaeota; Candidatus Undinarchaeia; Candidatus Naiadarchaeales; Candidatus Naiadarchaeaceae.
GCCUCUGUAGCUCAGUGGUAGAGCGUCUGUUUUGUAAACAGAAGGUCGGGAGUUCAAUCCUCCCCGGGGGCU